Long non-coding RNA from Seriola dumerili (greater amberjack), 1682 nucleotides. RefSeq lists it as uncharacterized. NCBI's taxonomy places the organism in Eukaryota, Metazoa, Chordata, Actinopteri, Carangiformes, Carangidae. The record is from RefSeq and is a predicted model, not a curated record. The transcript has 3 exons.
GAAAACAUACUGCUAGACUGAAUGUGCGCAGGGAUCCUUGGGUCAAUGCUGCGUGGGAUUUGACUGCAGAGAUUACUGACAACACAGGCUGAAUGGGAUGAAUAUGAUGUGGAUGACCCCCCGGUCUAGAAGGUACGGGUGCCUAUGGAGCCAGACGCCACAGUCGACUCUCAGUUCAGACCUCCUGACCCGUGACUCCCGCCUAAAUCCACUUCUGUCCAGUGAAUCAGAUUUCUGAAGAAAAAACAAGAAACCGAAACCAGGCUCAAAGCUACAUCUGGCUCUCUCCGGACUUCCCUCCCAGGCCAGAACAAUGGCGGGCCCAUGAGCCCAGCUUCCCCACAGGCCCCAGCGAGAGGAGGCCGGGGGCUGGGUACUGAGGGAGCCGCUCAGCAUGCUGAAAUAUGGAGGCGACAGAUAAGGUGGCAGCAGCACAGAGAGGCCCUCUCCCAUGGGCCCAAGGGGAAAUUUGCAGUUAUUAAGAGGAAGAUGAGAGAGAUUAAAUGGCUUUUGUACUCAUUUUCACAGACUUUUCUUUUUUAUUAUUUGGGCUGCCUUCAUCUGAGAGAUGAAAGAAGUGGUAAAUGACUUUUUUGCUUCAUUCAGCAACACACUGGCUUUGAGAGACAAUUCAUUACUGAGAAUUGUCACACAUCAUAAAACACUUAUUAGUUCACCAUUGUUUUAAAAGGUGUGGAAGUAAUAGAAUUACUGUAAUCUUAUCAUCUACAACUACAGUAAUUACAAACUUAACAUGGUUUUGGAUUUUGUUUGAAGAAAUGAACAAAAUGUUAACAUAUGUGUUGAUUUAAAAUAAUGGCUUGAAGUCUUAAGCAAAUAUGUACAGACUUCUUGACACUCAUUUAUCUUCACAUGCAAUCUGAUAAAGUGUAAAGCCUAUUCUCUGAGUUUCACUGAAACUUGUAAUGGAGAGUUUAUUAUUUUUUGUAUUAUUUGUAUUUUGUAUUAAUAUAUUGCACUGCAUUAUUUUAGUAGAUGUAUUGUAAGUUGCUUAAUAUGACAUUAUAAUGCAAUUUGUUUUAAAGACUUAUGUAGGUAUGGUUGUGAGGUGGAGGUGGAGGGUACAUUGAUGCACUGGAGGCAUGGUUCACUGGUGAGGAUAUUUUGGGCUGAUGUAUUUGAAAACCUCUACUGUGUUCUCAACAUACUUAUCAAACCAUGUGCAAUAGUUUGUUUACUUGGCUCAUUUUAAAAUGGUAGCCUGCACCUAUUUAUCAGUCUGGCUUCUCUAUCAGCUAAGUGGAUGCUAAUGAACUGGAAACAAAUUGUUUUAAAAUUUAAAAUUGGUUGAAGGACUUUUUGGAUGUGACAGGUAAAAGGGCUUUAUCAUUCUUCCAAGACUGAGGACUAAGGACUUCAUAUGGUCUUACUUAGAAAAUAGUAAUAUAUUCUUCUGCCCCUUACUCCCCUUUGUUGGUGUGACUUCAUGUUUGAAAUGUAGGGCGAUGCUAUGACUCUUGUCUCCAUUUUUGUUUUUAUGGCUUCUUAAGCGAUUAAAAACAACCAUUAAGUUGACAUAACACCUCUAUAACACAAGCAAGCAAGGCUUUAUUUAUAUAGCACUUUUCAUUCCAGGUUGAAGCACAAAGUGUUUGCUACAUGGAAGUUGCAACCACAAAAACUAUGUAGAUAGUGUACAGAUAAAACAUCAGACAUAAAUA